RNAcentral lists this transfer RNA (69 nucleotides) under Notiomystis cincta. RNAcentral's name for it is "tRNA-Phe". It matches the Rfam family "tRNA". From Rfam's summary of the family: Transfer RNA (tRNA) molecules are approximately 80 nucleotides in length. Their secondary structure includes four short double-helical elements and three loops (D, anti-codon, and T loops). The record is from RNAcentral. Lineage: Eukaryota; Metazoa; Chordata; Aves; Passeriformes; Notiomystidae.
GUCCCUGUAGCUUAUAAUAAAGCAUGACACUGAAGAUGUCAAGACGGCUGUAACACGCACCCAAGGACA